RNAcentral lists this ribosomal RNA (349 nucleotides) under uncultured bacterium. RNAcentral's name for it is "bacterial SSU rRNA". It matches the Rfam family "Bacterial small subunit ribosomal RNA", at positions 8 to 334 of the family's 1533-position model. The record is from RNAcentral.
AGGGUUUGAUUAUGGCUCAGGACGAACGCUGGCGGCGUGCUUAACACAUGCAAGUCGAACGAGACGAAUUAGAAGCUUGCUUUUGACGAGUCGAGUGGCAAACGGGUGAGUAACGCGUAGACAACCUGCCGCAAAGAUGGGGACAACAGUCCGAAAGGACUGCUAAUACCGAAUGUUGUGUCACAUUCGCAUGAAUGAGACAUUAAAGAUGGCCUCUACUUGUAAGCUAUCGCUUUGCGAUGGGUCUGCGUCUGAUUAGCUAGUUGGUGGGGCAACGGCCUACCAAGGCGACGAUCAGUAGCCGGUCUGAGAGGAUGAACGGCCACAUUGGAACUGAGACACGGUCCAG